CUAUUAAGCUACACAACUUUCUAGUAAAUUGAAAACUAAUUUAAAACUAAUAUAGAUAACAACUUUUGUUCAUUAUAGAAUCAUCUGAUCCAAAAAGAAAGACAACUUCGACGUUAGGAUCCAAUGAUCAUACAAGAUGAAUUUUGAGUAAUUUUAUGGGUCUAUCCAAUCUUAGUACUUCUUGACCUUCCUCACCUCUGUACGUAAACAACUUCUUCAACAUAGAAAACAUUCUCAUUAAUGAAAAACUCUUCCGUAAGACCAUCAAAAUCUCCACACAUCACCAUUGGAGUAGUGUAUCAACGGACACAAUUGCCUCCAACGCAGAUUCUGUGGCUGAAUACUCUUUGCCCAUCAGCACCAUUGGCAAAGGCGGACCGACUGGACAGGAGAACUUCCUCCCCGGCUGAAAAUUUUAUUGUAUUAUUUGAGUUUGAGAAAAGAAGUUAGGGCCGUGCUUAGAUACUUCACAAUAUUCAUUCUCAUUUCUUAAACCCUCAAAUAAACAUAUCGUUAAUUAAUAUUUUUAUUAUCUUAAAAGGUAAGAAAAUAACACAAAAUUUAAAUUAAUUUUUUACUUCACAAUAUUCAAACUGGAACGGCUAGCAAAAGGAGUUAUUUUAAAAACUGCUUAACCAAGGGUCCAAGACCAUGGGCCAAAAAAUUGUAACUUGUAACUUCAAAUGAAUAGAUUAAAAAAAAAAAAAAAUCCUGUGCUAUAGGAAACAUUUGGAACUCGCAAAUUAAAUAUUCACUGCGGUCCAAAUUUCUUAAAUCUCUGUUUUAAGACGUCGUCGCUGAAAUAAUCAUUCGCUCUGUUUUCUGUUUUCUUUUUUUCUUUUUUAAAGUGUCAAUAGAUCAUUAGAUCUGUAUAAAAAAGGGUAAUUUUUAAAAACCUCCCCUGAGGUUUGGACUUGUUGCAAGUAGAUGGCGAGAAUUGAUUUAUUUAUAAAAAACUCUCUACUGUCAGUUAAUUUUAACAUUGACCGUUAGUUGACUGUGCAAAGACAAUAUUACCCUUAACAAUAGUUUGCAAACGGAAAUA
RNAcentral lists this long non-coding RNA (1045 nucleotides) under Citrus x clementina. RNAcentral's name for it is "Citrus clementina (C. clementina) long non-coding RNA (CCLE_LNC000150)". The record is from RNAcentral. Lineage: Eukaryota; Viridiplantae; Streptophyta; Magnoliopsida; Sapindales; Rutaceae.